RNAcentral lists this ribosomal RNA (440 nucleotides) under uncultured bacterium. Its description in RNAcentral is "partial 16S ribosomal RNA". It matches the Rfam family "Bacterial small subunit ribosomal RNA", at positions 338 to 795 of the family's 1533-position model. The record is from RNAcentral.
CCUACGGGUGGCAGCAGUGGGGAAUAUUGCACAAUGGGGGAAACCCUGAUGCAGCGACGCCGCGUGAGUGAAGAAGUAUUUCGGUAUGUAAAGCUCUAUCAGCAGGGAAGAAAAUGACGGUACCUGAUGAAGAAGCCCCGGCUAACUACGUGCCAGCAGCCGCGGUAAUACGGAGGGGGGAAGCGUUAUCCGGAUUUACUGGGUGUAAAGGGAGCGUAGACGGUGAUGCAAGUCAGAAGUGAAAGCCCCGGGCUCAACGCCGGGACUGCUUUUGAAACUGUGUGUCUGGAGUGCAGGAGAGGUAAGCGGAAUGCCUGGUGUAGCGGUGAAAUGCGUAGAUAUCAGGAGGAACACCAGUGGCGAAGGCGGCUUACUGGACUGUAACUGACGUUGAGGCUCGAAAGCGUGGGGAGCGAACAGGAUUAGAUACCCCAGUAGUC